UGGUUAGAUUUGUAGUUAAAUCCUAUUUGGAUAAGAAUUAAUAUUUAAAUCUGUUUGAGAUAAAUUAAGAUUUAAAUAUUAAUUAGAGGAUAAAUCUAACUAGAUUAGGAUUAAUAUUUAAAUCUAUUAGAGAUUGAUUAAGAUAGAUUUAGAUAUUAAUUAAAGUAUGAAUCCUAAAUAUAUUAGGAUUGGGGUACGUUUUAAGUUGAGCAUUAUAAAUAGGCAUUGUGGCUCUCUUUUUU
RNAcentral lists this long non-coding RNA (242 nucleotides) under Ananas comosus (pineapple). RNAcentral describes it as "long non-coding RNA (ACOM_LNC035070)". The record is from RNAcentral. Lineage: Eukaryota; Viridiplantae; Streptophyta; Magnoliopsida; Poales; Bromeliaceae.